CUACGGGAGGCAGCAGUGGGGAAUUUUGGACAAUGGGGGCAACCCUGAUCCAGCCAUGCCGCGUGAGUGAAGAAGGCCUUCGGGUUGUAAAGCUCUUUCGGCUGGGAAGAAAUCGCAUCUCCUAAUACGGGGUGUGGAUGACGGUACCAGCAUAAGAAGCACCGGCUAACUACGUGCCAGCAGCCGCGGUAAUACGUAGGGUGCGAGCGUUAAUCGGAAUUAGUGGGCGUAAAGCGUGCGCAGGCGGUUAUGUAAGACAGAGGUGAAAUCCCCGGGCUCAACCUGGGAACUGCCUUUGUGACUGCAUAGCUGGAGUGCGGCAGAGGGGGAUGGAAUUCCACGUGUAGCAGUGAAAUGCGUAGAGAUGUGGAGGAACACCGAUGGCGAAGGCAGCCCCCUGGGCCGAUACUGACGCUCAUGCACGAAAGCGUGGGGAGCAAACAGGAUUAGAAACCCGUGUAGUCC
This 465-nucleotide ribosomal RNA is filed under the name uncultured bacterium. RNAcentral describes it as "bacterial SSU rRNA". It matches the Rfam family "Bacterial small subunit ribosomal RNA", at positions 339 to 796 of the family's 1533-position model. The record is from RNAcentral.